CCUACGGGAGGCUGCAGUGGGGAAUAUUGCACAAUGGGCGCAAGUCUGAUCCAGCAACGCCGCGUGAAGGAAGAAGGUUUUCGGGAUGUAAACUUCUUUUAAUUGGGAAGAGCAGACUACGGUACCCAUUGACUAUGCCCUGGCUAACUACGUUCAAGGAGCCUCGGUAAACUGUAGGUGGCAAGCGUCGUCCGUAUUUACUGGGCGUAAAGGCUCUGCAGCUGGAGAGCCAAAUCAGAUGUCAAACCGACGGGCUCAACCCGUGAACUGCAUUUGAAACUGUUUACCUUGAGUGUCGGAGAGGUAAUCGGAAUUCCUAGUGUAGCGGUGAAAUGCGUAGAUAUUAGGAAGAACACCAGUGGCGAAGGCGGAAUACUAGACGAUAACUGACGGUGAGGCGCGAAAGCGUGGGGAGCAAACAGGAUUAGAUACCCGUGUAGUC
Molecule: ribosomal RNA, 442 nt
Filed under: uncultured bacterium
Lineage: Bacteria
Description: partial 16S ribosomal RNA
Rfam family: Bacterial small subunit ribosomal RNA
Source: RNAcentral